Molecule: long non-coding RNA, 2006 nt
Filed under: Fragaria vesca (wild strawberry)
Lineage: Eukaryota; Viridiplantae; Streptophyta; Magnoliopsida; Rosales; Rosaceae
Description: long non-coding RNA (FVES_LNC003315)
Source: RNAcentral
AGUGGGACUAGACUGCGGCAGAAUUUGUUGUACCUUUUCCCUCCUAAGAGCAGAGGCCAUUGGUUCUGUGCAAUAGUGUGUUGUUUGUCUAUUGUAGAUUUGUUUAGAUCUGUAGUAGGUUUGCUGUUAGUAUAAUGUUGCGAUGCAAAACCAGAAUAAGCAAUGAAACAGUGUGCUCUAGUCUAAUGUAACAAAUAGAGUAAUGUUAGGUGAACCACCUUUUUAGGAACCACCUAGAGACCACCUUACGUGGCAACUGAUAUGGCACUGACAUAUCAUCAAACCAUGAUUUCUUAUGUUUGAUAUUCAAUUUUUUUCUUAAUUACCAAAAUUCAUUUUUAUUUUUACUUUCUUAUUAAUAUCUUUUAAACCCUAAUCUCUCUCUUAGAUCUAAUAUGCUUCUGCAUCGUGACGUCGUUUGUUUUCUUUCUCUCCUCCUCUCACAUUGAUCUCCUCUCAACCCUCUUACCUACUCGCAAGUCGCAACUGAUCGAUCGACACUUUUAAAUCAGAUUUCCGUUUCCUCACAAGCAUCGGCGACAAAAUCUUGGCCUUGUACGUAUGAAAUAUGAAUAGGUAGUUGGGAAUUAGGGUUCACAGAGAAUUGGAUUUGGUAAGGAGAAUUGGAUUUGAAUUAGAUACAAAUAGGUAGUUUGGAAUUAAGGUUUACGGAGAAUUGGAUUUGAAUUAGAGUUCAUCAUGUAUAUUUGUUUGAUGCUAGAAAAUUGAUUUGAUGCAGUUAGCACAAGCGAUCUAGUUCGACUGCAAAUCUUCUUGUUGUUAUUGUUAGGGAAAAUGUCAAUUUAGUAUUAAUUUAAACCCCUUAUUUCUCAUUCCAAUGACAAUCUUUUUCAUUAGUCCAUUUCAAAAUAAGGUAACAUUUUUUAUGCCCAAAUGCACAAAUCUUUAUGCCCAAAUGCGCAAAUCUUUACUAAAGUCUUAACAAACCAUAUUAUUUUAAAAUUAUUUUGCCCUCACCUCUUAAACAUGCAUAGAGAGAGAAAAUGAAAGAGAGAAUACUUGGCGCGAAUCUCACCAGACUCUGGUCACCGGCUGCUGGACUCCAGUCACCGGCCGUCAGACUCUGGUCACCGGAAUUUCCACUGUAAGUCUGUAACUAGUUACUGACCCCCAAUAACCAGUUAAUGACCCCUAAUAACCAGUUACUGACCCCCUAAUAACCAGUUACUGACCCCCAGUGACCAGUUACUGACACUCAGUAACCAGUUACUGACCCCCAGUAACUGAGUUACUGAUCCCUAAUAAUUAGUUACUGACUCCCAAUAAUCGAUUACUGACCCCAAUAACCUUGGUUACUGACCUCAAUAAUCAAAUAAUUUGUUACUGAUCUCUAGUAAUCGAGUUACUGACUCUAGUAAUCCCUAAUAAUCAGUUACCCCGACACCCAGUAAUUAGUUAUUGAAUACCAAUGACUUCUACUCAUACACAAAUCUCCACCAACCUCAAGAAAUCUCUCCUUCCCUCAGAUCCGACCCGCGCACUCGGCCUUCACCGACGGCCUCCUUAACGGCAUGGCAACGACUCCAGCAGACAAGGAGAUCUGGUCAAUUCCGGCGAUGGGAGAAACAGCUUCAAGAGAGAGAGAGAGAGAGAGAGAGAGAGAGAGAGAGAGAGAGAGAGAGAGAGAGAGAGAGUUUGUUUCAGAUCGGGACGGAGAGAGAGGUACGGUUGAGUGAUGCGAGGGCAAUAUAGUCAAUUUCAUGAGAUUUGUUAGAAUGGGUUGCUUGAAACGAUUUUCAUUGGAAUAGGCUCUUAUUAUAGUGUUUUUGGGCAAAUGGGCAUUUUCCCUUAUCUAGGUCUUGAAAAUUUCUUUUCCAAAGCUAUAUUUCAGUUAUAGUACAGGAUCAAGUUGUUUACUGUCAAGCUUUUGCUUUGGAACAGAGUUUGGUUCCAGCUAUUUUGAAAACAAAUGCAUUGUUGUUGCAGCAGAUAAAAAGUAGGGAUAUAGUGCAUUUUUGAGGUGGUAUUGUGGUAGUGAGUUGGUC